Cannabis sativa is the source of this 790-nucleotide long non-coding RNA. RefSeq lists it as uncharacterized. Lineage: Eukaryota; Viridiplantae; Streptophyta; Magnoliopsida; Rosales; Cannabaceae. The record is from RefSeq and is a predicted model, not a curated record. The transcript is spliced from 3 exons.
AUUUUCGGUUUUUAUAAAUAACCGAAGUUAAAAGUAUUUAAUGUUUGCUCUUUUGUUUAAGAAAAGCUUUGUCUUCGGUAAUUAAAAAUGACCGAAAUCAAAGGCUUCCACGCGGAGAACUUUGUUUUUUGUUAUUAGCUAAUAACCGAAGACUAAAGUCUUCUUAUUCCCACAAAUAAAGCAAAGGGACCGACCUUUCAAUUUACCCCCAAAUUGUCGAAACCCUUAACCCCACGAUCCUCAAACCCUCAACUUCUCAAACUCUUCGCUUACAGCUACCCCGACGACAAGGACGAGGACGAGGACGGCGGUGGACUGACUGAAGCUCUCUGCUCCGACUAACCUCCUCAAUGGAUUUUCUUCUGGUAUUGACUUGUUUUCGUUUAAAGAUCUUCUUCCAUUAGUCUCUUCUUCACAUCACCUACAAAUAAUGUUCAAAAAUUGGCAUUGGUUCAUUGGGUGCAUUUGUACAGUUUGGUGGGUUUUGUGGUUCUUGUACAAUGCCAUGCCAGCUUCAUUUCCCCAGUACGUGAAAGAGGCCAUAACCGGUCCUUUGCCGGACCCGCCUGGUAUUAAAUUGAAGAAGGAAGGAGUCCCUGUGGUGUUUGUGCCGGGGAUUCUGACUAGUGGGCUUGAAUUGUGGGAGGGUCAUCAUUGUGCAGAUGGGCUUUUUCAGAAAUGUCUUUGGGUGGUACCUUUGGAGAAGUCUAUAAGAGGUAAAUUUUAAUUGUCCAUAAUUUCCUUUGAUCAAUUUAUGGAAUUUAUUAUUUUUGCUUUAUACUGUAAUUUC